Long non-coding RNA from Salvia splendens (bonfire salvia), 1409 nucleotides. RefSeq lists it as uncharacterized. Lineage: Eukaryota; Viridiplantae; Streptophyta; Magnoliopsida; Lamiales; Lamiaceae. The transcript is spliced from 4 exons. The record is from RefSeq and is a predicted model, not a curated record.
ACAUGCUCUAGUGCUAAUGUGCUUGAAUAUCUACAUGCUGAUGUUUGGGGCCCUGCCUCAGUUCCUACACAUGGGGGUUACUCUUAUUUUCUUACUCUUAUUUUCUUGAUGAAACACAAGUCUGGUGUGUUUGUUAAGUUUCAGAACUGGAUGAAGCUUAUAGAGAACCAAACUGGAAGGAAGAUUGGGACUCCCAUACUGACAAUUGUUUAGAAUUUUGUAAUUCUCAGAUUGAUGACUUGUGUGUAAAUGCAGGUAUCAGGAGACACAAGACUGUGCCAUACACUCCACAGCAAAAUGAGGUGGCCCAUCGGGUUGCUAUUUAAAAAAAAUAUUAAUAUUAAUAUUUAGGGAUUUAACUUCAUCUAGGGUUUCUUAUCUUAUAUUGAUGCGUAGCCUUUUUCUAAAUCCAACUCCCUCAAGUCUUUCUCAAAUCUCAUAUUGCCUUUUUCUCAAAUCCAACUCCCUCACGUCUUUCUCAAAUUGAAGAUUAGGGCAAUUGUGGUUCUUGUUGUGCUUUCGGUGCUGAGUUAAGUCAAGCAGUGUGACAUUUAACUUGACGCCAGAACUCAUUCAUCAGGUAAGCUUCCUUCUCUCACAUUUGAGCAUUCUUAUUUCCACACCUUGAAGUUGAAGCCAUUUUAUAAUAUCACUACUUUGAUUUCUGGUUCAUCAUACCCUACUUCCAAUCUCUAUUUUAUGGAAAUCUGGAAGAUUGCAUCUUUAUUGAAUAAAAUGUCCGAAUAUCAAGAUGCAGUGGUCAAGUCUAUGGCUCUUAAGAUGAAACUGAAAUUUGAUAAAUAUUGGAAAGAGUAUAGUGAAAUACUCUCUAUAGGAGCAGUGCUUGAUCCGAGAAUGAAGUUCAAAGUUUUGGAUUAUUUUUAUUCAAGAAUUGAUCCUCUUACAAGCAAGGAUAAAAUUUUGAAGCUGAAGAUGAAAUUGUAUGCUUUAUAUGAUGAGUAUAAGAAAAUGGGUGUUGGGGUAUCUUUAUUUAAAGUUCCUCAAGCUAGUAGUGGAAGUUCUAGUUCUCAAGUCAGAGAACUUGAAUUCAUGGGUGAAGAAUUAAGGGGAGGAGAAAUUAAUCAAGCAUUGUUGAAUUGGGAGGAAGACGACUUUGUUAUAUAUAAGAAUCAAGCAGGUGCAACUUCUGAAGCAAAGUCACCGUUGGUGUUUAUUUGGAGGAAGGUCAGAUGGCUGAAAAUGGUGAGCUUGAUUUACUCAAGUAUUGGAGAGAUAAUGCAUCCCGCUUUGGAGAACUUUCUACAAUGGCAUGUGAUGUGCUAAGCAUUCCUAUAACAGCGGUAGCAUCAGAAUCUUCAUUUAGAAUUGGAGCGCAUGUUUUGAAUAAAUACAGAAAUAGGCUCCUUCCUGAAAAAGUGCAAGCUCUUAUUUGUUUACAUAAUUGGUUG